AGGUCACAGAUUGUGCCUGGUUCUGCAGGACUUUGUUCUGGAAAAUGACUGCUGUUUCUCUUGAGGGGAACAACUUCAGGGGUCAUGUAAGAGUAUGGACAAGCUGUUCAGAGUAAUCAUUCCCAUAUCUACCAUCAGCUGCUUUGCUAGACUGAUAUCACUUCCAUCACUAAAUAAUAGGCAUGGAAGUUUUGUUUUUCUGAGGAAGAUACCUACCAGAUCCAGAAUGAGAAUCAGAAAGUUGUUCUGGCAAUAUAUGUUUUGAAUUACAUUUACAUGGGUCAGGAUUUUUAUUGAACCCAAACUCUUCUAUCUUUCCACAUAUAACUCAGAUGUCAAUGGUGUGUAAAAUCCAUUUAAUGAUAAUACAAAUGAUGAUGAAGAGUAGGUCUCAGGGGGAAAGCGCUUGCACCUAGGAAAGCAAAGAAGCUCAUGGUCAUUUUAAGGAUGCUUAAAGUGAAGUACUUUAUGUCACAAUUUUGGGCAGCGGACAAAGACCGGCUCCUCAAAGCAUAGCUUCACAAGGCAGGAUUUUUGCAUAACCACAGGUGGGGAAUUUGCAUUAGCCUCUAUCUCUCAGUAUUUCCCAGGAAAUCCACUCCAUACUAUUGUCCUGAAAAAUCCAU
This is a non-coding RNA of Caretta caretta (loggerhead turtle), 626 nucleotides long. Lineage: Eukaryota; Metazoa; Chordata; Testudines; Cheloniidae. The record is from RefSeq and is a predicted model, not a curated record.